RNAcentral lists this ribosomal RNA (119 nucleotides) under Rickettsiaceae bacterium. The record is from RNAcentral. Lineage: Bacteria; Pseudomonadati; Pseudomonadota; Alphaproteobacteria; Rickettsiales; Rickettsiaceae.
AUCUACGGCCAUAGAAUCUAGAAAACUCCGCAUCCCGUCCGAUCUGCGCAGAUAACCUGGAUAUCGCCCAGUUAGUAGCAAGGUGGGGGACCACUUGCGAAUCCUGUUAGGUGCAAGUG